Non-coding RNA from Schistocerca serialis cubense, 74 nucleotides. The record is from the annotation of a RefSeq genome assembly. NCBI's taxonomy places the organism in Eukaryota, Metazoa, Arthropoda, Insecta, Orthoptera, Acrididae.
UGCUGGGUGGCUCAGUUGGUAGAGCACUUGCCUUCAAAAGACAAAGGUCCUGAGUUCAAGUCUCAGUCCGGCAC